GCUGGGCGUGGUGGUGCAUGCCUGUAGUCCCAGCUUCUCAGGAAGCUGAGGUGGGAGGAUCACUUGAGCCUGGGAAGUUGAGGCUGCAGUGAGCUGUGAUAGCACCACUGCACUCCAGCCUGGGCAACAAAGCAAGACUCUGUCUCCA
RNAcentral lists this non-coding RNA (148 nucleotides) under Nomascus leucogenys (northern white-cheeked gibbon). Lineage: Eukaryota; Metazoa; Chordata; Mammalia; Primates; Hylobatidae. The record is from Rfam by way of RNAcentral.